Molecule: ribosomal RNA, 253 nt
Filed under: uncultured bacterium
Lineage: Bacteria
Description: partial 16S ribosomal RNA
Rfam family: Bacterial small subunit ribosomal RNA
Source: RNAcentral
UACAGAGGGUGCGAGCGUUGUCCGGAAUCACUGGGCGUAAAGCGCACGUAGGCGGCUUCUUAAGUCAGGGGUGAAAUCCUGGAGCUCAACUCCAGAACUGCCUUUGAUACUGAGGAGCUUGAGUCCGGGAGAGGUGAGUGGAACUGCGAGUGUAGAGGUGAAAUUCGUAGAUAUUCGCAAGAACACCAGUGGCGAAGGCGGCUCACUGGCCCGGUACUGACGCUGAGGUGCGAAAGCGUGGGGAGCAAACAGG